Molecule: ribosomal RNA, 512 nt
Filed under: uncultured bacterium
Lineage: Bacteria
Description: bacterial SSU rRNA
Rfam family: Bacterial small subunit ribosomal RNA
Source: RNAcentral
CGCUGGCGGCGUGCCUAAUACAUGCAAGUCGAACGGUCUUUCUAUGGAAGCUUGCUUCCACUGAGAAGAUAGUGGCGAACGGGUGAGUAACACGUGGGUAACCUGCCCAUAAGAGGGGGAGUAACAUCCGGAAACGGGUGCUAAUACCGCAUAGUUUUCUUGAUCGCAUGAUUGAGAAAGGAAAGACGGCCUUUGUGCUGUCGCUUAUGGAUGGACCCGCGGCGUAUUAGUUAGUUGGUGAGGUAACGGCUCACCAAGACGAUGAUACGUAGCCGACCUGAGAGGGUGAUCGGCCACAUUGGGACUGAGACACGGCCCAAACUCCUACGGGAGGCAGCAGUAGGGAAUCUUCCGCAAUGGACGAAAGUCUGACGGAGCAACGCCGCGUGAGUGAAGAAAGGUUUUCGGAUCGUAAAACUCUGUUGUCAGAGAAGAACAAGUUGGAGAGUAACUGCUCCAGCCUUGACGGUAUCUGACCAGAAAGCCACGGCUAACUACGUGCCAGCAGCCGC